GUUGAAAUGAGCUAAAACGGAGCGUUUCAGACAGAGCGUGAAUACAGGUUUGUAAACAUGCCUGCAACAAAACAACCAAGGACAGACUUAUCGAUGAAUGCCAAUUUUAUCCACAAGCAAGACAUAGAGAGGACUCAAUCAUCUCAACAAUAGUUUGAAUCUUCACUGUACUUGUUUAUGGUCCACGGCUAUGAAACACGCUCAUCUUCACUCCAGCUCUUCAUCUCAAGACUUGACUGUUUUUAAUUCUGUCAUCGGUGCAGACAAUAAAAAAAGAUAAAAGAA
This is a long non-coding RNA of Sebastes umbrosus (honeycomb rockfish), 285 nucleotides long. RefSeq lists it as uncharacterized. NCBI's taxonomy places the organism in Eukaryota, Metazoa, Chordata, Actinopteri, Perciformes, Sebastidae. The transcript is spliced from 2 exons. The record is from RefSeq and is a predicted model, not a curated record.